CAAUGUUACCAUCGGUCAACUUUGGCCCGUAGGCCUAGAUUGGGCAUCUCUGCACUGGAGGAAGAGUAAAAGUGGGUAAAUCUCUAUUUUUGGGUGACCUAUAGCUUAAUGUUAAUUAUAGAUCUCCGAUAAAGCAGCAAUGGAGUUUAUUUUUUCGCGGAAUAAGCCACAGGUAACGCUACUAAACAAACACAUGGAAAUACGACGUAAUGUUGUGCACAAAUAACACAUUAUGGUCAUGAAAAGCGAGGAAGAGGGGAAAACGACGCUAUUUGUCAGUCCAGCUACAUGAUGGACUACAGUGCCCAGUUUCGCAGGGAGGCCACCGGUGAGCUGACCCUUAAACCAUCACCUGAGGCAGUAGCUCUUGCUGCUGCCUACAGGAAAAAUCCCACCCCGGGCCGUUCAUGGCCUGCGGUAAGGGUCAAGGAGGAGGCCAUCGCUCGCGUGGCAGCAGC
Long non-coding RNA from Danio aesculapii, 458 nucleotides. RefSeq lists it as uncharacterized. The record is from RefSeq and is a predicted model, not a curated record. NCBI's taxonomy places the organism in Eukaryota, Metazoa, Chordata, Actinopteri, Cypriniformes, Danionidae. The transcript is spliced from 4 exons.